Asparagus officinalis (garden asparagus) is the source of this 1130-nucleotide long non-coding RNA. RefSeq lists it as uncharacterized. NCBI's taxonomy places the organism in Eukaryota, Viridiplantae, Streptophyta, Magnoliopsida, Asparagales, Asparagaceae. The record is from RefSeq and is a predicted model, not a curated record. The transcript is spliced from 2 exons.
UGUAGGGGUUUUAUUGCAAAAAACGUCGCUUUAUGACCGUGAAAUUUAUGCCCGUGACCUCUCUCUCUCCCCCCCAAAUCUCAACUCGUGACUUCAAAAUUUUCCCCAAAUCCCCAAAUCCGCUUUCUCCUCCGACGACAUCAGCCCUCCUCCGACGACAUCAGCCCUCCUCCGGCGAGACUCGUUGCCGCCGUUCCCCAAAUCCGCUCACGAGAUCUCGAGCCUUCGCCUGCAACAGAGCCGUCGCUUCCCCAUAUCCGCUCACGAGUUCUCGAGCACUCCUCCAACGACAUCAGCUCACAAAUCUCGAGCCUUCGAAGGAGGAGGUCGACGAGAUCAUCCUUCUGAGCCGCCGCUUUCUCGAACGUCGUGCUGCUGAUCUCGCCAUCAUCACUCUCGUCGUCAUCCUCCCUCGGACUCGUCCUCAUCCUCCCUCGGUCUCGUCGUCAUCACUCUCGUCGUCGUGCUGCUGAUCUCGUCGUCGUGCUGCUGAUCUCGUCGUCGAACUGGUGCUGAUCUCGCCAUCGAGCUGAUCUCGUCGUUGAUCUGGUGCUGAUCUCGUCGUCCUGAGCCAGAGUUCGUGAGCCAGAUCCGCUCAUCCUCCUCCGUCCUCCUCCCUCUGAGCUAUCCUCUCUCAGCCGUGAAUCAUGGAGUCAUCUUCAAGCAAUCGUCAUGGACUGUUGUGCCAUUGUGGAAGGAGGGUUAUACUCUCUAGAUCUGGAACUAAGACGAACCAUGGUCGAUUGUUUUUGGGAUGCGCUAAUUGGAAAGUGAGUAAUUGUGGAUUCUUCAAAUGAGUAUCUGAUGAAGAGGAGAUUGAAGGUUCAAAGACAGGGCUUGUUCAAACAAAGCUGUCGAGCGUGAGGCCGCAAGUUCAAGAGCCGUGUCAAGUGUAGAAUUGCGGGAAAAGAGAAAGAUUGAGAUUGAUAUUAUGGAUUUGUUAAAGCUUGUUGUAUUUGCUCUUUUAUUUGGUAUUUUUCUUGGAUUUGUAUUUGGUAUUUUUAUUGGAUUUGUGCUAAGUAGAGUGUAAGAAUGUAUUAUCCUUCUUUGUGGAAGUGUAUGUUGAUGAGAACUUCUGGUGUUCUGGUUUUGUAUCUUCAGACAAAUUAGAAUAGUAAUUUGUUUUAUAA